GGGGAUUUGGCUCAGUGGUUCCACCGCCUUCUUCGCAAGAGCAAGGUCCCAAGUUCGAUCCCUGGAAUCCCCC
RNAcentral lists this transfer RNA (73 nucleotides) under Fukomys damarensis (Damara mole-rat). It matches the Rfam family "tRNA". From Rfam's summary of the family: Transfer RNA (tRNA) molecules are approximately 80 nucleotides in length. Their secondary structure includes four short double-helical elements and three loops (D, anti-codon, and T loops). Lineage: Eukaryota; Metazoa; Chordata; Mammalia; Rodentia; Bathyergidae. The record is from Rfam by way of RNAcentral.